CCUACGGGAGGCAGCAGUGGGGAAUAUUGCACAAUGGGGGAAACCCUGAUGCAGCGACGCCGCGUGAGUGAAGAAGCGCCUCGGCGCGUAAAGCUCUGUCAGCAGGAACGACGAUGACGGUACCUGAAGAAGAAGCCCCGGCUAACUACGUGCCAGCAGCCGCGGUAAUACGUAGGAUCCAAGCGUUAUCCGGAUUUACUGGGUGUAAAGGGAGCGUAGACGGCAGUGCAAGUCUGGAGUGAAAGGCGGGGGCUCAACCCCCGGACUGCUCUGGAAACUGUACGGCUGGAGUGCAGGAGAGGUAAGUGGAAUUCCUAGUGUAGCGGUGAAAUGCGUAGAUAUUAGGAGGAACACCAGUGGCGAAGGCGGCUUACUGGACUGUAACUGACGUUGAGGCUCGAAAGCGUGGGGAGCAAACAGGAUUAGAUACCCGAGUAGUC
Molecule: ribosomal RNA, 440 nt
Filed under: uncultured bacterium
Lineage: Bacteria
Description: partial 16S ribosomal RNA
Rfam family: Bacterial small subunit ribosomal RNA
Source: RNAcentral